RNAcentral lists this ribosomal RNA (627 nucleotides) under Bacillus sp. (in: firmicutes). RNAcentral's name for it is "bacterial SSU rRNA". It matches the Rfam family "Bacterial small subunit ribosomal RNA", at positions 51 to 662 of the family's 1533-position model. Lineage: Bacteria; Bacillati; Bacillota; Bacilli; Caryophanales; Bacillaceae. The record is from RNAcentral.
AUACAUGCAGUCGAGCGAAUCUGAGGGAGCUUGCUCCCAAAGAUUAGCGGCGGACGGGUGAGUAACACGUGGGUAACCUGCCUGUAAGAUUGGGAUAACUCCGGGAAACCGGAGCUAAUACCGGAUAAUAAUUUGAACCGCAUGGUUCAAAUUUGAAAGAUGGCUUCGGCUAUCACUUACAGAUGGACCCGCGGCGCAUUAGCUAGUUGGUGAGGUAACGGCUCACCAAGGCAACGAUGCGUAGCCGACCUGAGAGGGUGAUCGGCCACACUGGGACUGAGACACGGCCCAGACUCCUACGGGAGGCAGCAGUAGGGAAUCUUCCGCAAUGGACGAAAGUCUGACGGAGCAACGCCGCGUGAACGAUGAAGGCCUUCGGGUCGUAAAGUUCUGUUGUUAGGGAAGAACAAGUGCUAGAGUAACUGCUAGCACCUUGACGGUACCUAACCAGAAAGCCACGGCUAACUACGUGCCAGCAGCCGCGGUAAUACGUAGGUGGCAAGCGUUGUCCGGAAUUAUUGGGCGUAAAGCGCGCGCAGGCGGUUUCUUAAGUCUGAUGUGAAAGCCCACGGCUCAACCGUGGAGGGUCAUUGGAAACUGGGGAACUUGAGUGCAGAAGAGGAGAGU